UACGAAGGGUGCAAGCGUUAGUCGGAAUUACUGGGCGUAAAGCGUGCGUAGGCGGUUUCUUAAGUCUGCUGUGAAAGCCCCGGGCUCAACCUGGGAAUGGCGGUGGAUACUGAGGAGCUGGAGUACGGUAGAGGAAGGUGGAAUUCCCGGUGUAGCGGUGAAAUGCGUAGAGAUCGGGAGGAACAUCAGUGGCGAAGGCGGCCUUCUGGACCAGUACUGACGCUGAGGCACGAAAGCGUGGGGAGCAAACAGG
Molecule: ribosomal RNA, 253 nt
Filed under: uncultured bacterium
Lineage: Bacteria
Description: partial 16S ribosomal RNA
Rfam family: Bacterial small subunit ribosomal RNA
Source: RNAcentral